Molecule: ribosomal RNA, 274 nt
Filed under: uncultured bacterium
Lineage: Bacteria
Description: partial 16S ribosomal RNA
Rfam family: Bacterial small subunit ribosomal RNA
Source: RNAcentral
AGACAGAGGUGGCAAGCGUUGUUCGGAUUUACUGGGCUUAAAGGGCGUGUAGGCGUCCUGGUAAGUCAGAUGUGGAAGCCUUGGGCUCAACCCAAGAAUUGCAUUUGAUACUGCCGGGAUUGAGUCGUGCAUGGGAGGGCGGAAUUCCUGGUGUAGCGGUGAAAUGCGUAGAUAUCAGGAGGAAGGCCGGUGGCGAAGGUGGCCCUCUGGGCAAUGACUGACGCUGAGGCGCGAAAGCGUGGGGAGCAAACAGGAUUAGAAACCCUACUAGUCC